RNAcentral lists this ribosomal RNA (398 nucleotides) under uncultured bacterium. RNAcentral describes it as "bacterial SSU rRNA". It matches the Rfam family "Bacterial small subunit ribosomal RNA", at positions 362 to 776 of the family's 1533-position model. The record is from RNAcentral.
UAUUGCACAAUGGGGGAAACCCUGAUGCAGCGACGCCGCGUGAAGGAAGAAGUAUUUCGGUAUGUAAACUUCUAUCAGCAGGGAAGAAAAAAGACGGUACCUGACUAAGAAGUCCCGGCUAACUACGUGCCAGCAGCCGCGGUAAUACGUAGGGGGCAAGCGUUAUCCGGAUUUACUGGGUGUAAAGGGAGCGUAGGCGGCCUGGCAAGUCUGGUGUGAAAUACCGGGGCCCAACCCCGGGACUGCAUUGGAAACUGCCAGGCUGGGGUGUCGGAGGGGCAGGCGGAAUUCCUAGUGUAGCGGUGAAAUGCGUAGAUAUUAGGAGGAACACCGGUGGCGAAGGCGGCCUGCUGGACGACAACUGACGCUGAGGCUCGAAAGCGUGGGGAGCAAACAGG